Molecule: ribosomal RNA, 502 nt
Filed under: uncultured bacterium
Lineage: Bacteria
Description: partial 16S ribosomal RNA
Rfam family: Bacterial small subunit ribosomal RNA
Source: RNAcentral
AUUGAACGCUGGCGGCAUGCUUAACACAUGCAGGUCGAACGGCAGCACAGUACGUAGCAAUACGUAUGGGUGGCGAGUGGCGGACGGGUGAGUAACGCGUAGGAAUCUGCCUUGAAGCGGGGGACAACCCGAGGAAACUCGGGCUAAUACCGCAUAAUAUCGAGAGAUUAAAGCUGGGGCAACCUGGCACUUCAAGAGGAGCCUGCGUACGAUUAGCUAGUUGGUAGGGUAAAGGCCUACCAAGGCGAUGAUCGUUAACUGGUCUGAGGGGAUGAUCAGUCACACUGGAACUGAGACACGGUCCGGACCCCUACGGGAGGCAGCAGUGGGGAAUAUUGGACAAUGGGGGCAACCCUGAUCCAGCAAUGCCGCGUGUGUGAAGAAGGCCUUCGGGUUGUAAAGCACUUUUGGCAGGGAGGAAGAUGUGGAGUUUAAGAGACACUACAUUUGACUGUACCUGCAGAAUAAGCACCGGCAAACUCUGUGCCAGCCGCCGCCGUAA